RNAcentral lists this ribosomal RNA (553 nucleotides) under uncultured bacterium. RNAcentral describes it as "partial 16S ribosomal RNA". The record is from RNAcentral.
UACACCACUAAUUCCAUCUCCCCCUCCCAUACUCUAGUCUAGCAGUUUCAAAUGCAGUUCAAUGGUUGAGCCAUUGGAUUUCACAUCCGACUUGCUAAACAGCCUACGCGUCCUUUACGCCCAGUGAUUCCGAGUAACGCUUGCACCCUCCGUAUUACCGCGGCUGCUGGCACGGAGUUAGCCGGUGCUUAUUCAUAUGCUACCGUCAUUUUCUUGACAUAUAAAAGGAGUUUACACACCGAAAUGCGUCAUCCUCCACGCGGCGUUGCUGCAUCAGGCUUUCGCCCAUUGUGCAAUAUUCCUCACUGCUGCCUCCCGUAGGAGUCUGGUCCGUGUCUCAGUACCAGUGUGGCGGAUCAUCCUCUCAGAACCGCUACCCGUCAUUGCCUUGGUGAGCCAUUACCUCACCAACUAGCUGAUAGGAUAUAGUCUGAUCCCAAAGCGAAAAGACAUUUCCCUUCUUACCUUAUGAUAAGAAGGUGUAUCUAGUAUUAAUCACCGUUUCCAGUGGCUAUCCCAGUACUUUGGGGUACAUUAACUAUAGUUUACUCAC